GCAACUCGCCUACAUGAAGUUGGAAUCGCUAGUAAUCGCGAAUCAGAAUGUCGCGGUGAAUACGUUCCCGGGUCUUGUACACACCGCCCGUCACACCACGAGAGUUUACAACACCCGAAGUCAGUGGCCUAACCGCAAGGAGGGAGCUGCCUAAGGUGGGGUAGAUGAUUGGGGGUGAAGUCGUAACAAGGUAAC
RNAcentral lists this ribosomal RNA (195 nucleotides) under uncultured bacterium. Its description in RNAcentral is "partial 16S ribosomal RNA". It matches the Rfam family "Bacterial small subunit ribosomal RNA", at positions 1307 to 1500 of the family's 1533-position model. The record is from RNAcentral.